Molecule: unclassified non-coding RNA, 312 nt
Filed under: Bombus terrestris (buff-tailed bumblebee)
Lineage: Eukaryota; Metazoa; Arthropoda; Insecta; Hymenoptera; Apidae
Description: misc RNA ENSBTSG00005027366.1
Source: RNAcentral
AUCAAUAUUUCUAAUGAUUACACUAUUACCAUUAGUAUACAAAAAAUUUUUCCCUUUAGGAUCACCUCCUAAUACAAGAGGCUGUCCCCUUUGUGUUCUGGGUAGUGUAGCAAAUAUGUAUUCUGCAAACUUGUUUCAUAGGACAUUUUUAUUCCGUUUCUUUUUUUUAAAUAAUACUUGAAAAAACUCAACAAUGGGAAUCAGUUCAAUGCCUCCCUCGUAUCUUUCUCUGUCUCCCCCCCCACACACUUUCCAUUGAAAUGCUUGUUCCGCCCUUGCCUUAUUUAGCUGAAGCAUUGAUAAUACUGAAAC